GUAUAUCAUUGAAAAUCACUAGAGUAGACACAUAUGAGACGUGGUGCACGUAGGAUGCUGAUUAAUCAGUAGGAAUAGUAGGCAUCGGAAAAGAGAUAACUAGUGUGUGCACGGAAUUACGUAGAUGCUUGCAUGCAUGCGGUUGUGCAUGCUGUAUGAUUUGUUGCUUAACUUGCAGAUGACAGGUCAUAUGCAUGCAAAUUACAUAUCGCAACCCUCCUCAUUUGACUAAGUUCAAGACAUCGCAUCAUGUAAAGCAUGCUGCUAUGAUUCUUAAGCUACACGUUUGCCUAGGGAUAGUGGCGUUUAAGACCAUAUGUUGUUCCUAGUAGUGAAACACAUGACUAAUAGAUUUUUUAUCCUACAAAACAUAAUCAGAUCCAAUGGUUACAUUAUGAGUCAUUUUUACAUAAAAGAACUGUCUACUUUAACACAUUUUGCUAUGGUCUAAUCGUUGCAAUAAGCUUGACAAACAGCUUCUCCUGCGAGAAUUUAGCCCUUUGUCAAUUUUGGGCUGAGGCUUUCGUGUUUGCCGUUGUUAUUAUUUUCUCUCACCAUUCUUUUGUCCCACACAUGUUCAUUAUUGGAUUUUGUAAAGUUUCCCCUUCAAUGUAUACUAGGCUAGAGUAAGGCCGCCGCAGUCUCCAUACAAAAGAAAAUCAGUUGGUAAAGUAAGAUUUUUGAUGCACCCAUAUUGACCCUAACCUGCAAAGGCUAUUUAACAUAUCCAUGAUAUUUAUUCUACUUAUAUAAAAAACACCUCAGAGCAUUGAUUCAAACAUCACCCACCACAUCUAACACCAUCAAAAAGCAUUCAGGGACAACACGUUCUCUUAUCUUUCAUUCAAUAUAUAUUUAUAUAGAAAAAUGUAUUGUAAAAAAAUACCUAUGAUAUUUAUUCUAUUUAUAUAGCAAAAUGUACUGUAAAUUAAAUCACAUUAGAGCAUUGAUUCAAACGUCACCCACCACAUCUAACGCCAUCAAAAAACAUUCAGGGACAACAUGUUCUCUUAUCUUUUGUUCAAUAUAUAUUUAUGUAGAAAAAUGUACUGUAAAAAUAUCCAUGAUAUUUAUUCUAUUUAUAUAAAAAAUGUACUGUAAAUCAGAACACCUGAGAGCAUUGAUUCAAACAGCACCCACCACACCUAACACCAUCAAAAAGCAUUCAGGGACAACACGUUCUCUUAUCUUUCGUUCAAUAUAUAUAUAAGAGGCACAUCUGCACUAUCCAAUAUAUACACACAUCCACUUCGUAGUGUGUGGUGUUAAAGAAUCACUAGUAAAUAGAUGGAAUAGGUUGUAAAAGAUGUGUGCUAAGAUGGAUGCAUGGAUGUCGUAUAGGAUGUAGGGUGUCAAUUGAUUUGUUUGACUUGUAGGCACCGGGAACUCACUAGCUAGUUGGCAGUUGCGCUCUAGUAGUUUCUGGCAUGCAUGCAUGUUACUUCCUCCAUUUCUAAAUAUAA
This 1463-nucleotide long non-coding RNA is filed under the name Hordeum vulgare. Its description in RNAcentral is "long non-coding RNA (HVUL_LNC014409)". The record is from RNAcentral. Lineage: Eukaryota; Viridiplantae; Streptophyta; Magnoliopsida; Poales; Poaceae.